This 253-nucleotide ribosomal RNA is filed under the name uncultured bacterium. RNAcentral's name for it is "partial 16S ribosomal RNA". It matches the Rfam family "Bacterial small subunit ribosomal RNA", at positions 524 to 776 of the family's 1533-position model. The record is from RNAcentral.
UACGUAGGUGGCGAGCGUUGUCCGGAUUUACUGGGCGUAAAGAGCGCGCAGGCGGUCGUGCAAGUCGCGUGUGAAAGCCCCCGGCUCAACUGGGGAGGGUCACGCGAUACUGCUCGACUCGAAGGCAGGAGAGGGAAGUGGAAUUCCUGGUGUAGCGGUGAAAUGCGCAGAUAUCAGGAGGAACACCAAUUGCGAAGGCAGGUCUCUGGGCUGACACUGACGCUCAUGCACGAAAGCGUGGGGAGCAAACAGG